UCCCUGGUGGCUCAGAGGUUAAAGCGUCUGCCUGCAAUACAGGAGACUCGGGUUCGAUCCCUGGGUUGGGAA
This 72-nucleotide transfer RNA is filed under the name Bos taurus (domestic cattle). It matches the Rfam family "tRNA". Rfam says of the family: Transfer RNA (tRNA) molecules are approximately 80 nucleotides in length. Their secondary structure includes four short double-helical elements and three loops (D, anti-codon, and T loops). Lineage: Eukaryota; Metazoa; Chordata; Mammalia; Artiodactyla; Bovidae. The record is from Rfam by way of RNAcentral. RNAcentral also lists the same sequence under 1 other name.